UAAACUAGUCACAUUAGAGUCAGGAUUUGAACCCAGGCAGUCUGGCUUCAACGCCAAGCUUCCCCUCAAUCACUUCUACCAUCAGAUAAUAUUGCUUCAUACUCACAGUGUUAGCACCAAGAAUGUAAGUUUAGCUAACUGAUCAUAUGAAUUUUGUUGAAAUUCUGUUUAUUUUUCUUCCAGAGAACUCAAUAUGGAACACUUUUUCUCUUUUGAUUCAGACAACUUAUGGAGAUUUUGAUCCUGUACUGAAAGGAACUGAAUGUGGAAAUUUUUGGAGUGUCCAUUCAAUGCCUCCCUGGAGUCUCUGCCAAAGGAAACAUUAGACACGACUCUGUCUGGAUCCAGCUACUACAUCUAUGAUGCUGUGGAUGUGGUGGCCUGAGCCCUCCAUGAAAUACUUUUUAUAAAAGCAGAACAGGGGUCCAUAAUGGAUGCAGGCCAGCUCAUGUUUCUCCCUUAGCAGGUUGCAAGUAAACCUCUAAUGAUUGUAGGGUCUAAUUAGCAACAGUGUCAACUCUUUUAACUAGAAAUAAUUGAUUAAAAACUUUCACUGUGAGAGGUAGGAAGAAGCAGGCUGUCUUUCUUUGUCUCUUCUUGAGCUCAAGGAAACUCCCUAGCACCCCUAAAGCAAACCUCAUUGCUCAAGCUCCACCCAUUCCUAAGAAACACCCAAUUUAAAAAAAGCACUGGAGCUCACGUGUCACUGGAUGAGAAAAGAAACUCUGUGUCACAGCAUAUAAUUCUGAACUAUAUGAUUUUCCUAAAGGUCUUGGACUUCAGGUGAAAGACGUUCUGUCAGCCAGGAUUCAGGAACAUCCCUCAGGAAGAGAGAGCUACCUGCUGCUUUGUCUGUGUAUUGUGCCCAGAGAGAGAAAUAUGUAAUCAGACAGAAAAGAAAAGUGUCUGUGGGGCUCAAGUUUGAGUUGAAACCAGGCUCAGGGUCCACCUGUCCUCGCUGAUCCGUGGAUUUCUGUGUGACCAGCUGACACCUAUGGAGCUGUGGCCCUGACUACUACCAGUGAGUAUUCCUGGCCCUCAUCUCCUGGGUUCCAUCCCCAUUUGGGGUUGGGGAGCAGUGGUUCUCCUGCACCCACUGUCCUUGGUGAGAGAAGGACCUGGAAGGGCCCUAACUCAUCCCUUCUCUCUCUCCCGUGUUCUGGUGGAGAGUUCCAGCCCAGGGUGAGAAAGCCUUAGUG
Diceros bicornis minor is the source of this 1199-nucleotide long non-coding RNA. RefSeq lists it as uncharacterized. The transcript has 8 exons. NCBI's taxonomy places the organism in Eukaryota, Metazoa, Chordata, Mammalia, Perissodactyla, Rhinocerotidae. The record is from RefSeq and is a predicted model, not a curated record.